This 354-nucleotide unclassified non-coding RNA is filed under the name Hevea brasiliensis (rubber tree). Lineage: Eukaryota; Viridiplantae; Streptophyta; Magnoliopsida; Malpighiales; Euphorbiaceae. The record is from RNAcentral.
AAGAAAUUGGCCAGAAUUUAGAAAAGUAGAAGAACGUAGUGACAUACGAAUGGGGCAUAGUGUUGGUUAUGUUCUAUUUUCUUUACUACUGAGAUAUGCCAAGAAAUUAUUUUGCAAAGGCCAAAUCUGUGGAAAUGUGCGAGUGAUGGGUCUUAAUCAAGAUCCAAAAUGGACCUCCGAAUUUCUCGGUUGCGAUCAAGAGAAAACCAACACCCCACCUGCCUAGAACAUGGUCAGAGAGACAAAGGGGUUAUGUCCAUUUCUCUUGUUGGCUUGUGCAAUGCUGAAAAGCUCAUAAAAAUCCAACGUGUUUAGUUCGCGUGCCAACAUUUUAGCUGUAAAAUGGAUUUCAUU